UAAACUAGUACUUUAAGAAAAAGAUUAGUCUUGCAUUCUAACAUUGGUUUGAUACCCUAGUUUAA
RNAcentral lists this transfer RNA (65 nucleotides) under Macridiscus semicancellata. RNAcentral describes it as "tRNA-Ala". The record is from RNAcentral. Lineage: Eukaryota; Metazoa; Mollusca; Bivalvia; Venerida; Veneridae.